UAGGAUGUAGCUUAAAAGUAUAGCAUCUCACUUACACCGAGAAGACACCCGUGCAAACCGGAUCAUCCUAA
RNAcentral lists this transfer RNA (71 nucleotides) under Nemichthys scolopaceus (slender snipe eel). Its description in RNAcentral is "tRNA-Val". It matches the Rfam family "tRNA". From Rfam's summary of the family: Transfer RNA (tRNA) molecules are approximately 80 nucleotides in length. Their secondary structure includes four short double-helical elements and three loops (D, anti-codon, and T loops). Further hydrogen bonds mediate the characteristic L-shaped molecular structure. tRNAs have two regions of fundamental functional importance: the anti-codon, which is responsible for specific mRNA codon recognition, and the 3' end, to which the tRNAs corresponding amino acid is attached (by aminoacyl-tRNA synthetases). tRNAs cope with the degeneracy of the genetic code in two manners: having more than one tRNA (with a specific anti-codon) for a particular amino acid; and 'wobble' base-pairing, i.e. permitting non-standard base-pairing at the 3rd anti-codon position. The record is from RNAcentral. Lineage: Eukaryota; Metazoa; Chordata; Actinopteri; Anguilliformes; Nemichthyidae.